Long non-coding RNA from Clupea harengus (Atlantic herring), 2023 nucleotides. The record is from Ensembl. NCBI's taxonomy places the organism in Eukaryota, Metazoa, Chordata, Actinopteri, Clupeiformes, Clupeidae.
GUGUGUGUGUGUGUGUGUGUGUGUGUGUGUGUGUGUGUGUGUGUGUGUGUGUGUGUCUAUGGUUUCCCCCCUCAGGGUUUGCCGUAAGGAGGAAUGCACCAGCCCCACGACUUGAAUUGCUUGUUUUGAAUUGAGUUUAGUUUUACAAGAAGUUCCUGGUCCAGAGUUUGGCCUCUUGUCCUGUCAGGUGUUCCAAAACAUGUCUUGGCUCCUCCCUCCAUCAAUGCUCUUGCACACAUGCUUCUUUACCGACGACUGUCUUCAGUUUUUAAGAUCUCUAAUUUGGUUGUUUUAUAAAUAUAUAAAAAUAUAUAUAUUUGAAAUAUAUAUUUCUACAUAUUUAAGUGUUAUGUAUAUAAUCAGUAUUAGGCCGGUAAGCCGUGUCUCUGUGUGACAGUGGGGAGGGGUAAUUCAGGGUAGAGUAGUGUGGAGAUGUUGUUCAUUAGUCUGUUACUGUAGGCGUUACCUUAGUGAGGACCGCAGCAGACGUCUGCCCUGUCUCCAGGGAGACGGCGCUGUUACAACACUCUAAAGCUUUACAUAUUACACAAAGGUCUCCUGAUCUCCUAAGAUGACCAGGAGGGAGCCUGCUACUGUUUGGUUUGGCAGAGACUCUGUGUGAGUGACUUGGAAUGGCCUCUGUGUCUGAGGGGGAAUGAGGAUGUGGACAGAAGGUGUUGUUAAGUUUACAGUUUGUGCUGGUUUGUUAAGUAAGGUCUGGGUUAGAUGCCCAGCUAAAUGUUACAUACUCACAGGAGUGGUCUAAAGGUCUGUCCAGAAAAUGAAUGUGUGGGUAGCAAAGUCGAAUUGAAAACGGUUGCGGUAGUAUACGGGUGAUGGUGGCCACGGUGGAUUGUCACAGCUUCACAGGUCUGUCAGUCAUCCCAUAGAGGGCAGGAAGUAGCCCAGAUCCAUCAGGUGUUCUUUGACCUUUGACCCAUCUUGGCCUCCAUGUUUAGUUUGGUUGUCAGGAGAAGUGAAUAGCUUGAACCCUGCGCUUCGACUGAUGGGUGCAUGAAGAUGUUCUUGGAUCUUUAAUAGCCUGAGCAGAAUGUUGGUUUGCAUCUGUUCUAUUUUAAACUAUCCCUAACUAUAAAUAUAUAAGGCUCAACAGAUCAGCACAUCGGGAUCCUGGAGCUUAUGUUGUGUGUUAUUAAUGAAUACUAAGAAUUUCAGCUAUUUAAAACAGGAUGUGUUGGUGACCGCUGCUGGUCGUAAUGGCUUACUCUUCUUGCAACAUGUGACCGCAUAGAUCGCUUCAGAUCUGCUAGAUUCCUUUCAUGUGCAUUUUAAUAUAAUGACUUGUUUGACGAGGCCUAGUUGUUUUGGCACUGUGGGUUAAUUUCAGGUUUUCCAGUGGCCUGAGGCUGUCGGUGUUGAGGAGAACGGUGUUCUGUCUUUUCAACUUGAGGUGCGAGGUGAGACUGGGGUGUUUGCCUGAGGAAGAUGAAGGUGGCUGCGUUGGCUAAUUGUCACCCCCCUCUCUUGGCCUUUGAACGGAGUCCCUCUAGAACCCUUAAGGAGAGAAUGCAUUAGUCACCCUAAGUGCCCUGUCAUGCUGUGGGCUCCUUAGUCCGCCAAUAAAGUCUGUACUUUAUGUGUGUGCGUGGGUGUGUGUGUGUAGGCAUGCUUGAACUUAACAUGUGAUCGGCACUAUUGAUGUCAGACAUGGCCUCUCCAUGAUCGUGGCUGAUGAUGACAUUGUUGACAGAACCCUGUACUCCCUCUAUGCUAUGAACUUGAAUUUAAAGCUAACUGUUCCCCAUCUCCUAGUUGUUCCAGCAGUAGGAUAGAACAGUGCCUUAGAUUAAAGAGUAGGACCGAUUUUUAUUUUCAUAUGAUUACUAAAGUAAGAGGUCACGUGUGCUUACCUCGGCCAUGACAAUCAUUCUACCUAACUUGGGCCACGAGGAGGAUUCACUUCUAAAGAGCUGUUCAGGUCUGAAUACGGCCCAGUCCAUAAAAUUAUAUUUGUAAAUAUAUCUAAAAUGUACUGGAUAAAACUGUUAAAAUAAAGUUUUGC